GGGCGCUUGGCUCAGGUGGUUAGAGCGCAGCCUUCACACGGCUGAGGUCGGGGGUUCGAGUCCCUCAGCGCCCACCA
This 77-nucleotide transfer RNA is filed under the name Acidimicrobiales bacterium. RNAcentral describes it as "tRNA-Val". It matches the Rfam family "tRNA". Rfam says of the family: Transfer RNA (tRNA) molecules are approximately 80 nucleotides in length. Their secondary structure includes four short double-helical elements and three loops (D, anti-codon, and T loops). RNAcentral also lists the same sequence under 2 other names. Lineage: Bacteria; Bacillati; Actinomycetota; Acidimicrobiia; Acidimicrobiales. The record is from RNAcentral.